GCGUAAAAAUUCCGUUAAUUUUGGGGGCUUAAAACUAUUACCGAAGCUUCAAACAAAGAAAUUUUAAAUCUUUUUUGUGGUAGCAGAACAUUCCGUAGGUUGUAAAAAUUAUAGUGUGAACUAUAGUGAAAAUACCGGAAGUGAGAAUACUUGCAUGAGUAGCAUAUAACAAUGAAAAGCAUUGUGGCCGUAAGUCCAAGGUCUUCGAUUAUAAGUAAAACUAGGUCGGGAGAAGUUUAAACUUCUACAAAAAACGGUCCCUAAGCUGUCAAGCCAAAGCUUGUAGUAAUGGGUAAGAUUAUACUGUGAUAAGUAACUGACGAAAAAUUCACUUUAUUUUUGAAUUAAUCAAUGGUAAAUUAUUUUUUCCAAGAAAAAGGUACUUUAUAA
This 390-nucleotide ribosomal RNA is filed under the name Himanthalia elongata. Its description in RNAcentral is "partial 23S ribosomal RNA". It matches the Rfam family "Bacterial large subunit ribosomal RNA", at positions 1153 to 1629 of the family's 2925-position model. Lineage: Eukaryota; Phaeophyceae; Fucales; Himanthaliaceae. The record is from RNAcentral.